CCAGCACCUGCGGUAAUUCCAGCUCCAAUAGCGUAUAUUAAAGUUGUUGCAGUUAAAACGCUCGUAGUCUGAUGUAAUGGGGACUGGAGUGGGGAGCAGCGAUGCUCUUUGCUUUGAUCCUCAUCAAGGGGACAGCAAUGUCCCAUUCGUUUACUUUGAAUAAAUUAGGGUGUUCAAAGCAGCCAAAAAAGGAGGCAUGAAUACUACAGCAUGGGAUAACGGAAUACGAUUUCGGUUCGAUGUUUCGUUGGUUUCUAGGAUCGAAGUAAUGAUUAAAAGGGAUAGUUGGGGGCAUUAGUAUUUAAUUGUCAGAGGUGAAAUUCUUGGAUUUAUGAAAGACUAACUUCUGC
RNAcentral lists this ribosomal RNA (350 nucleotides) under uncultured eukaryote. RNAcentral describes it as "SSU rRNA". It matches the Rfam family "Eukaryotic small subunit ribosomal RNA", at positions 567 to 946 of the family's 1831-position model. The record is from RNAcentral.